This 253-nucleotide ribosomal RNA is filed under the name uncultured bacterium. RNAcentral's name for it is "partial 16S ribosomal RNA". It matches the Rfam family "Bacterial small subunit ribosomal RNA", at positions 524 to 776 of the family's 1533-position model. The record is from RNAcentral.
UACGUAGGGGGCAAGCGUUGUCCGGAAUUAUUGGGCGUAAGGAGCGCGUAGGCGGUCUGAUGAGUCGGUUGUGAAAGUCGGGGGCUCAACCCUCGAAUGCCGAUCGAUACUGUCAGGCUAGAGUCCGGAAGAGGCGAGUGGAAUUCCUGGUGUAGCGGUGAAAUGCGCAGAUAUCAGGAGGAACACCAAUGGCGAAGGCAGCUCGCUGGGACGGUACUGACGCUGAGGCGCGAAAGCGUGGGGAGCAAACAGG